UCAAAUUGAUGUGGCAGAGUUUGUAGAUC
This 29-nucleotide small RNA is filed under the name Bombyx mori (domestic silkworm). RNAcentral's name for it is "ovarian small RNA-24516". The record is from RNAcentral. Lineage: Eukaryota; Metazoa; Arthropoda; Insecta; Lepidoptera; Bombycidae.